GACCACAUACCAGCUCCACGUUUGGCAAAGAUUCCUUGCAAGAUGAUGUUUAGUAUCAUGCUAGAGGACCUGGGUCUUCAAGAUGUAAGAUACAACUGCCAUACAAUGCUAAAGUUUUCUCACCACAUGCUCUCUCUUGUAUGUUCAAUUUGGGGAUAUAGGUGGAGUUCGAGUGUAAAAGAUGGAGGCGAAUUGGCCGAGAUUUGUGCGCCGGGAUUUGGUGGCUGGAUGAGGAAGAGGUGAGUGGAGGGUCUGAGCGCACCCCACGCCUCUGCUCGUCUUCUUCACUUCUAUCCAUGACUUCCCCGGCGGUGGCGUGGCGCCUGGUCUGCACACCGAACGACUCCUCUCCCCUUGCCAACAACUGAGUUGCCGGAGAAACCAGAGCAAGAGGUGGAGCUGAGCAGGAGCUGCGGCCUGAUGGACCAUGGAUGAGCGAGGUUGCGACCUCCACGCCCGUCCAGUGCACGAACAUGUCCCAGGAGCUGGACCAACGUGUUCGGCAGCGAGCGUAGUCAGUCUUGAGACUAAGGUCGCGAGGUGUGAAUAGGUCCUCAAGGUUUCCUGAAGCAUAUAUUUGUGCAUGAUCUAUGGCAUCUAACAAAGGUAUUGGAGAGCUGAGGCGUCGGUUACUAUCCAGCCAUGAAUGUGAGGCGGGGAGUGGCGCUCCGCAUACUAGCGCGUGCAUCUGAUAGCAUGUACUAUGAGGCUAGGUAGACGAGCUCCUGCGUUUAUUUUGCUCUGCAGCGGAAUAAGAUGCAUAAUAUCUUAACAAGAUCAGGUCGCUUUUGCUGCGGAUGACAAUGUCGUAUUUGGGGCAUCAAGCAUGUUAAACCCAAACUGGUCAUCUGACCGAUCAAUGGAGUAAUGUUAGUUGUAAGACGAAUCACUAAGACAUAGAAGAUACUUUUGUACAGAGCGCCUUGGUUCCCUGACACCCAUAUUAUGUAAUUUUGUGCUACGGACUACUCCUGUUUAGUGGAAAUCCAUGCUAUCACACUUGAUCUAUGUACAAUGUAUCAGCUACCCGAUUGUACUUUAUUUUGUUUUGGGUUUUCAA
Molecule: non-coding RNA, 1060 nt
Organism: Lolium perenne
Lineage: Eukaryota; Viridiplantae; Streptophyta; Magnoliopsida; Poales; Poaceae
Source: RefSeq, a predicted model, not a curated record